CUACGUGCCAGCAGCCGCGGUAAUACGUAGGGUGCGAGCGUUAAUCGGAAUUACUGGGCGUAAAGCGAGCGCAGACGGUUACUUAAGCAGGAUGUGAAAUCCCCGGGCUCAACCUGGGAAUUGCGUUCUGAACUGGGUAGCUAGAGUGUGUCAGAGGGGGGUAGAAUUCCACGUGUAGCAGUGAAAUGCGUAGAGAUGUGGAGGAAUACCGAUGGCGAAGGCAGCCCCCUGGGAUAGCACUGACGUUCAUGCCCGAAAGCGUGGGUAGCAAACAGGAUUAGAUACCCUGGUAGUCCACGCCCUAAACGAUGUCGAUUAGCUGUUGGGCAACUUGAUUGCUUGGUAGCGAAGCUAACGCGUGAAAUCGACCGCCUGGGGAGUACGGUCGCAAGAUUAAAACUCAAAGGAAUUGACGGGGACCCGCACAAGCGGUGGAUGGUGUGGAUUAAUUCGAUGCAACGCGAAGAACCUUACCUGGUCUUGACAU
RNAcentral lists this ribosomal RNA (487 nucleotides) under uncultured bacterium. RNAcentral describes it as "bacterial SSU rRNA". It matches the Rfam family "Bacterial small subunit ribosomal RNA", at positions 501 to 987 of the family's 1533-position model. The record is from RNAcentral.